Long non-coding RNA from Seriola dumerili (greater amberjack), 324 nucleotides. RefSeq lists it as uncharacterized. Lineage: Eukaryota; Metazoa; Chordata; Actinopteri; Carangiformes; Carangidae. The record is from RefSeq and is a predicted model, not a curated record. The transcript has 3 exons.
CAAUGCAUUGUUCAAGUCCCGACCACAGGCCAUCAUUACAUGUCGCUUCACCCCACCAGCCUUUAGUCACAAGCUUAUAACCUUCCUCACAGGUGUAGUACAGUGUCUCAUUGUAUGGACCAACUAUAAAUCCAUGUGGAACUUUGGGUUUUGGACAUGCUGUACAACUCUGAAUCCCAGUCCAAUUACCUUGGCUACAGACAACAGUAAAACGUCUUUUACUGUUGUUCCUGCAUGCAAAUUGGACUCGUUCAUGGUGGUUGUAACUUAUCUUCUCAUUGCGUGUAAUAUAUGCAUUACUGAUGUUGACUUUUUUACAUGGUC